GACGAACGCUGGCGGCGUGCCUAAUACAUGCAAGUUGAGCGCUGAAGGUUGGUCCUUGUACCAACUGGAUGAGCAGCGAACGGGUGAGUAACGCGUGGGGAAUCUGCCUUUGAGCGGGGGACAACAUUUGGAAACGAAUGCUAAUACCGCAUAAAAACUUUAAACACAAGUUUUAAGUUUGAAAGAUGCAAUUGCAUCACUCAAAGAUGAUCCCGCGUUGUAUUAGCUAGUUGGUGAGGUAAAGGCUCACCAAGGCGAUGAUACAUAGCCGACCUGAGAGGGUGAUCGGCCACAUUGGGACUGAGACACGGCCCAAACUCCUACGGGAGGCAGCAGUAGGGAAUCUUCGGCAAUGGACGAAAGUCUGACCGAGCAACGCCGCGUGAGUGAAGAAGGUUUUCGGAUCGUAAAACUCUGUUGGUAGAGAAGAACGUUGGUGAGAGUGGAAAGCUCAUCAAGUGACGGUAACUACACAGAAAGGGACGGCUAACUACGUG
Molecule: ribosomal RNA, 497 nt
Filed under: uncultured bacterium
Lineage: Bacteria
Description: partial 16S ribosomal RNA
Rfam family: Bacterial small subunit ribosomal RNA
Source: RNAcentral